Molecule: non-coding RNA, 2678 nt
Organism: Xyrichtys novacula (pearly razorfish)
Lineage: Eukaryota; Metazoa; Chordata; Actinopteri; Labriformes; Labridae
Source: the annotation of a GenBank genome assembly
CCCUCUAAAACCUUAACUGGGAAAUCACUGUGGGAUUGAUGACUCCCUCACUCUUUAUCUCUUUUAAUUAGAAAUGUAAAAGAUAUGAAGACCCAGAGGCCAGAACACAUCUCCUAGUUUUUAUGACCCCGACGCCGCCUCGCUCCCCUUCCCCAAAUCACUCCUCUUCCUCCCUUCCUUCCUUCUUUCCACUCUCUCUCUCUCUACCUGGCCUUGUUUAUUUCCUCUGCCCCCUCCCUCCCUGCUGGCAUACUCUCCAUUCUCUUUCUUGUCACAGAUACCUUUACCCGUUUCUCCAUCACUUUCUCCAUUACCCUUUCUUUCUUUAAGAUGGCACGCCUGCCUGUCUGCUCACCGCACAGGAGGAAGGUGUUAAAUUUAUGGUCUUUGCACUUGAAAUGUUUCUCACCUUCCCUUCACCUCUCCUCUCUUUCCUUGACUGAUUCCUCAACCCUCUAUGGAUUCACUGCAUGUGUAACAAAUGAGGGAAAUGUCCUUUUUGUCUGUUCUGAUUCAAGCAGGAGACACACCUUGAAGGAUGCGCUGUUUCACACCACGGCUCUCAUCCCAUGUCCAAACAAACCUGCUUUCUUUUUUUUUUUUUAACCACAUCAAACCCAGAUGCACCUCCUCUUUAUAUCCCACCCAGAGCCCAGGACGUUAUUCCCUAACCGCUACCAGGAGCACUUUGGAUCACUGAGCUUUAUUCUCCUGAUCACUCUCAGAGGAGCUCCAUUAUCUCUCGUGUAUGUUGACUAAAGGUAAGGCUGCAGUUUGCUCACGUUCAGAGCAAACCAAGCGGAUGUGCAGCUCUCUCUCUCUCUCUCUCUCUCUCUAUCGCUCUUACUCUCUGGGUUUAAAAAUUCAAAUGAGUUUCUUUGGUAUGCCGCACUCAUGACCUACUUUUAUGGAAUCUUUACUAUUUUUAUGAAUAAUUGAUGCCCUGAGGCUGCAAGAAUAUUACAAGGGAGAUUUUUUACCCUUUAUUAAUUCAUCUCACCUUUUUUUCCAGGGGCCUUUCUUUACACAUUUCCAUUUUUCCCAUUUCUAGUGAACAAGCCUUCCUUCCUACCUACAGUAAUUAGUUAAUCAAGUAUCAUUGAUGUGGAAGGAUGAGUAUAUGGAAGUCUUAGACCUGGUGCCUUUAAAUUCCCCCAAACCCUCCCUCAGGUUUCCAUGACAACAUCCUACAAAAAAAGGGGAUAAGGGGAGGGGGGGUAUAUCCAUUUGAUUGUUCCUUGUAAAAUAGUGUGUAAUGUAUGGGCCUUAUUUUAAUUCCAGUCUGGUGUUAUUGAUCUGUCUUUAAUGAUAGUUAAUUAAAGCAAUCGUAUAAUUGAUAGAAUCUCAUCUCUGUUUAUCACCCUCCUCUGAUCCUCUCUUUCCCUCGCUCCGUCUUUUCUAUUAAUAAAAUCAAGGUGAAGCAUUAGUAUCCCACACUGGUGCGCUGGAAAAAGAUGGAUGUUUACUAUCAGUAGCCCUUUACAGAAAGAAAUCCUGUUAUUCAUCAGAAAGUCAGGGAACAUCAGGAACAGUGAUGUUGUCAAGGUUCGUCCUCUUAAGGAAAUAAUUUUUUGAAAAAUAUUGAUUUUUGUUCAUAUUUAUCAGGCCGAUCUGAUUAAGUGUAGUCAAGAACAGCUUGUUCUGAGUUAUCUUGUCUUAAGUGUUGUUUGCAUGGCUAUAUUCAGGCUUCUGUGACAAUCAAAUAUGACAACUUUGAAAUGGUUUGAUGUCCUUUCAUAUUUCACAGCUCUUUAUCAAAACACAGUGUUGUGUUAGGCAUCCAAUAUGAUCAGAUAUAAGACAAACAAAUCCACAAAAACGUCAGACCAUAUGCUCUUCUUAUAGUUUGAAACAUCCCUUCUUAGUUUCCGAGCUAAUUUCUUGAGAUAUGAUCAUUCUUGGACUUUUUGGUUUUAUUCAGUUGGACAGCUUAAAAGGGUGGGAGAUGACUUGCACUAAAUGCUGUCAGGAUCAGGAGUCGAUCAAUUUUCCUACUUUGUGUGCCAUUGUCUGUAACCUCUUUGCAUCACUAACUGAGCUAAAAUUAGCCAAACUUAACAAUUGAAAUAUGAUGUAUCUGGUGCAUCUAGCAGCAGAGAUAUGUUUUAAUUUUGCUUCCUUCUGUCUUAUAAAGAUUUCCCACAUUAAGAGAAAAGCAUUGGGGCGGAUUAACCCUUUAAUGCCUUUUGUAUCAUAUUUAUAUACAUACUUUUAUAUACUUCUAUCAAAUCAACAUGAUCAUCAAAUUACUAUAAAAAACCACCUGAAUACAGUCCGAUAAAUGCUAAAAAUGUCAUCUUUUAGUUUAUUAGUUUCCAAAAACAUCUAAUAUAUCAAAAAAGAUAAAUAAUAAUUAUAUUUACUAAAUUUCUAAGGAUAUUUUAAUUUUUUUGUUUUUUAGCAGUAAGUGAAAUAAACAUUUCAGCUCCAAAAAAAAUUGAAUUUUCAGGCCAUAAUUUGUGGUUUCAGGCAUCAAAGGGCUGCCUUUUUCACGCCCACGCCUUUCCAUCCUAGCUAAAAAAAAACAACUACAGUAAAAAGUUAGUCUGUCAUGUUUUUUUAAGACUACCGCCUGCACUCUUCCAACUGCAGAGUGAACAAAUCUUGGAAGCGAACCUUUAUCUGAUGUCCUUGUUCAGCAGGAGGCUGUGAUUUAUUCGCCUCUGAGCCCACAUCUC